GACGAACGCUGGCGGCGUGCUUAACACAUGCAAGUCGAACGGUAAGGCCCUUCGGGGUACACGAGUGGCGAACGGGUGAGUAACACGUGGGUGAUCUGCCCUGCACUUCGGGAUAAGCCUGGGAAACUGGGACUAAUACCGGAUAGGACCACUGCCUGCAUGGGUGGUGGUGGAAAGCUUUUGCGGUGUGGGAUGGGCCCGCGGCCUAUCAGCUUGUUGGUGGGGUGAUGGCCUACCAAGGCGACGACGGGUAGCCGGCCUGAGAGGGUGACCGGGCACACUGGGACUGAGCUACGGCCCAGACUCCUACGGGAGGCAGCAGUGGGGAAUAUUGCACAAUGGGCGCAAGCCUGAUGCAGCGACGCCGCGUGAGGGAUGACGGCCUUCGGGUUGUAAACCUCUUUCAGCACCGACGAAGCGCAAGUGACGGUAGGUGCAGAAGAAGGACCGACCAACUACGUGCCAGCCGCCGCCGUAA
RNAcentral lists this ribosomal RNA (478 nucleotides) under uncultured bacterium. RNAcentral's name for it is "partial 16S ribosomal RNA". It matches the Rfam family "Bacterial small subunit ribosomal RNA", at positions 28 to 523 of the family's 1533-position model. The record is from RNAcentral.